This 450-nucleotide ribosomal RNA is filed under the name uncultured bacterium. Its description in RNAcentral is "partial 16S ribosomal RNA". It matches the Rfam family "Bacterial small subunit ribosomal RNA", at positions 354 to 796 of the family's 1533-position model. The record is from RNAcentral.
GUGGGGAAUAUUGGACAAUGGGCGAAAGCCUGAUCCAGCCAUGCCGCGUGUGUGAAGAAGGUCUUCGGAUUGUAAAGCACUUUAAGUUGGGAGGAAGGGCAGUAAGUUAAUACCUUGCUGUUUUGACGUUACCGACAGAAUAAGCACCGGCUAACUUCGUGCCAGCAGCCGCGGUAAUACGAAGGGUGCAAGCGUUAAUCGGAAUUACUGGGCGUAAAGCGCGCGUAGGUGGUUUUGUAAGUUGGAGGUGAAAUCCCCGGGCUCAACCUGGGUACUGCCUCCAAAACUGCAUGACUAGAGUACGGUAGAGGGUAGUGGAAUUUCCUGUGUAGCGGUGAAAUGCGUAGAUAUAGGAAGGAACACCAGUGGCGAAGGCGACUACCUGGACUGAUACUGACACUGAGGUGCGAAAGCGUGGGGAGCAAACAGGAUUAGAAACCCUAGUAGUCC